Long non-coding RNA from Piliocolobus tephrosceles (Ugandan red Colobus), 2283 nucleotides. RefSeq lists it as uncharacterized. The record is from RefSeq and is a predicted model, not a curated record. The transcript is spliced from 2 exons. NCBI's taxonomy places the organism in Eukaryota, Metazoa, Chordata, Mammalia, Primates, Cercopithecidae.
CUAGUGCGCGGCCUGCUGCGGAGGGAUUACACUGAGGAAAGAGACCGGCUUCUGCGUCGCUGUUGCGUGGUCCGCGCGAGCGUGAUCGGGAGCCGCUGGGCCCUGGGGUGACCCGCGGAGGUGGGAGAGGGAAGGGCUCCGGAAGCUGGCGGGGGUGCCAUGGAGCCUCUCCGCCGGCGCGGCCUUCACAGCUGGGUCGCGCUGGGCAUCCGUAGUCCGCUCUCCCAAAGCCUCGGUGGAGCCGAAGCUGCCACAGAGUGCAUGUUCACAAAGGGUCAUCACACACGGAGCUGCCCCUCCCUGUCUCCCUAGAGCCCAUCUUCGAGGCCAGGGGCUUUUCUACCAGGAUUCUGGGGUGUUUCUCCUCCUUUCCUCCCUCCCAGAUCUUCUCACGUGGAAGUGGAUCAUCAUAAAGAUCUUCAUCCUUGUCACCUUCACAUUGAGUAGACUGAAGAAGAGGAGCCGAAUGGAUAAAGAAAAUGUUUAUGUACACCAUGGAAUACUAUUCAGCCAUACAAAGGAAUGAAAUAAUAUCUUUUUCAGCAACUUGGAUGGAGCUGGAGGCCAGUAUUCUAAGUGAAGUAACUCAGGAAUGGGAAACCAAAAAUGGUAUGUUCUCCCUUAAAAGUGGGAGCUAAGCUAUGAAAACACAGAGGCGUAAGAUUCAUGCAAUGGACUUUGGGGAUUGGGGUUGUGGAGGAAGGUUGGAAGGGGGUUAAAAGACUACAUAUUGGAUACAGUAUACACUGUUCAGGUGACAGUUGCGCCAAAAUCUCAGAAAUUACCGUUAACAAACUUAUCCAUGUAACCAGAAAACAUCUGCACCCCCCAAAACUACUGAAAUAAAGAGGAUGGGUUGUUCUUACUGUCUUAAGCCUCAUGGCAGAGGCUUAAGAGCAGGAGCAUGUUGGGAGGGAGGAGAGGCAGGCACACUUGGUGUAACUCUUACUGAAAAAAAUCACAUCCAUUUAUAAGUGGACCCAGGCAGUUACAAACCUGCAUUGAUCAAGGGUCAACUAUGUAUUGGGAACUUGUUAAAACUGCAGCUGCUUGGCUCCCAUGCAUGAUUCCAUGAAGUUGGCAUGGGUCCUGGGCAUCUAUACUUUUUUCUCCCUCAGAUUUUCUUACGCUUACCAAUGAUCACAGUUUUUCACCUGUUUGUUAAUCAUGUGUUUUUUAUAGUUUAUAUUUAAAGCCAUUCAGGUGUUUUAGUUUAAACCUCAAAUAUACUAUAAACUCCAUGAGGGCACAAAAUUAAACUUAGUUUAGAGGUUGAUAAGCAAUGCCCCCACCUUUUUUAUCUGCCUAUGUUUGGAUUCAGUUAAAUCAGAUAGAUGAAGAUUGAAAUGUAAGUUUACUGAAAAAAGUUGUUUGGAAAAGGUAGCUGAGAUUUGCAGCAACAACGAGCUCCAAAGAACUAGGCAGAUUUAAAAUUAAGAGUUUUUCUAUCAGCAAGAAUAGAGCUUGUCCCACUGCAUCUACUGUGUAACAGCAGGCCAAAACAAAUGACCCUCUUCAGUCAGCCAAAUCCCAAGUGGAAAGGAGAGAGAAAGUUGGCCGAGCCUCCGAAUUUUUUCUCCGAAACCUGCUGUCAGAUCAUUUAGCCCCUCCUAUCCUAGAAAGAAGUUAAGAGUAGAGGUCAGCCAUGAAUAUUACAGUAAGGAAGUUUUAUGUGGAGUAUGAAAGAGCUUUCCUCAUGCCUUCAACAAUACUCAAUAGGUAUUAAUGGAUUUUUUUUAAUACUUUGCAUUGGGUUGCUAUGAUUUUUAGUACCUAAAUAAGUUAUGAAGUUACAACUUCAGUUAGAUCAGUAUAUAUUAUUGUAUUAGUUAUACUUUGGUAUGUAACAAAUUAUUUCCCAAACAGCUUAAAACAACAUUUGUCAUUUCAUACAUGGUGCAUGAAAUGAUACGUGGUCAGGAAUCUGGGAGUGGUUUAGCUGAGUGGCUCCAGUUCAGAGCCUCUUAUGUGGUUGCAGUCAUCUAAAGGCUGCUUGAGUGUCUUCACAACAUGGCACCAGAGCACGUGAUCUGAGAGAGAGGCAGAAACCACAGUGUCUUUUACAACCUAACUUUAGAAGUGACCUACUGUCACUGUGUUGUAUUCUGUGGGUUACACAGACCUACCUACACAAGAGUAUGAAUACCAAGAGGUGUAGGAUUCAUUGGAGGCCAUCUUGAGGGCCGACUACCACACUUUUAUGACAUGUUAGUUUCACUUUAUAUCUCACAGAACGAGUAAUUCAGUAAUGUCUAAUAUCCCAAUAAAAUUGUUUCAUGGUAA